CCUACGGGAGGCAGCAGUGAGGAAUAUUGGUCAAUGGGCGGGAGCCUGAACCAGCCAAGCCGCGUGAGGGAAGAAGGUACAGCGUAUCGUAAACCUCUUUUGUCAGGGAACAAAGGCGGGGACUAGUCCCCGGAUGAGGGUACCUGAAGAAAAAGCAUCGGCUAACUCCGCGCCGGCAGCCGCGGUAAUCCGGGGGAUGCGAGGGUUAUCGGGAUUGAUUGGGUUAAAGGGGUGCGCAGGGGGCCUGUUAAGUCAGCGGGAAAGGCCCGGGGCUCAACUCCGGCGAGCCGUUGAAACUGGCGGGCUGGAGUUGGAGAGAGGUACGCGGAAUGCGCGGUGUAGCGGUGAAAUGCUUAGAUAUCGCGCAGAACCCCGAUGGCGAAGGCAGCGUACCGGCUCCACACUGACGCUGAGGCACGAAAGCGUGGGUAUCGAACAGGAUUAGAUACCCUUGUAGUC
RNAcentral lists this ribosomal RNA (459 nucleotides) under uncultured bacterium. RNAcentral describes it as "partial 16S ribosomal RNA". It matches the Rfam family "Bacterial small subunit ribosomal RNA", at positions 338 to 795 of the family's 1533-position model. The record is from RNAcentral.